AUUGAACGCUGGCGGCAUGCCUUACACAUGCAAGUCGAGCGGGGUUUCGGACCUAGCGGCGGACGGGUGAGUAAUGCGUAGGAAGCUGCCCGAUAGAGGGGGAUACCAGUUGGAAACGACUGUUAAUACCGCAUAAUGUCUACGGACCAAAGUGUGGGACCUUCGGGCCACAUGCUAUCGGAUGCGCCUACGUGGGAUUAGCUAGUUGGUGAGGUAAUGGCUCACCAAGGCGACGAUCUCUAGCUGGUUUGAGAGGAUGAUCAGCCACACUGGAACUGAGACACGGUCCAGACUCCUACGGGAGGCAGCAGUGGGGAAUAUUGGACAAUGGGCGCAAGCCUGAUCCAGCCAUGCCGCGUGUGCGAAGAAGGCCUUCGGGUUGUAAAGCACUUUCAGCGAGGAGGAAGGGUGGUGUGUUAAUAGCACAUCAUUUUGACGUUACUCGCAGAAGAAGCACCGGCUAACUCUGUGCCAGCCGCCGCCGUAA
RNAcentral lists this ribosomal RNA (487 nucleotides) under uncultured bacterium. RNAcentral describes it as "partial 16S ribosomal RNA". It matches the Rfam family "Bacterial small subunit ribosomal RNA", at positions 30 to 523 of the family's 1533-position model. The record is from RNAcentral.